UAAUAGUAGUUCGACGCAAUCCCGAUCGGCGAUAUCGAUGCGUGUGUGAUCAGCGC
This 56-nucleotide transfer RNA is filed under the name Diaphanoeca grandis. Its description in RNAcentral is "partial tRNA". Lineage: Eukaryota; Choanoflagellata; Acanthoecida; Stephanoecidae. The record is from RNAcentral.